This is an RNA transcript of Vitis vinifera (wine grape), 2329 nucleotides long. It is a transcript of the gene named E3 ubiquitin-protein ligase RING1, with no coding region annotated. Lineage: Eukaryota; Viridiplantae; Streptophyta; Magnoliopsida; Vitales; Vitaceae. The transcript has 3 exons. The record is from RefSeq and is a predicted model, not a curated record.
CUCUCUCUCAUUUCUCAAACACGAGAAAUUCAUAGUCUUCCUCCUUCCUCUCUCCAUUGUCUGGCAAUAAAAUCUUCCUCCAAAACGAUGUCGCUUAGUGGCUUCUCCGGCGGCAGCGGCGGCGGCGGCCCUGGUGGUGGCUCCGCCGCUCCUCAGUCCUACUUCUGCUACCAGUGCAACCUUACGGUCUCCAUCACCCCUUCUCCCACCUCCGAUCCUCUCUGCCCUCAUUGCAACGAUGGCUUUCUCGAGGAGGUUGAAAACCCUAAUCCUAACCCUAUCCCCGUCCCAAUCCCCAAUCCCUUCUUAGGUUUCUCCGAUUUGCCCUCUCUAUCCGCCGCCGGCGCCACAGCCACUGCCUUCCCUCCGCUUGUCUUCUCAACCGCUGCCGGAGGGAGCAUCGAUCUCCAGAACUCCGUCGAUUUCCCCGGUCUGUUCGGGGCAGACCCCGAUGCGUUCCACCCCUUUGCUUUCCUACAGAAUUAUCUGCAAACCCUAAGGGCAGGUGGCACGAACGUUCAAUUUGUGAUUGACGGUAACUCGCCGGAGGGUACGUUCCGGCUUUCGCCAAACCUCGGGGACUACUUCAUUGGACCGGGGCUGGAGCAGCUGAUCCAGCAGCUGGCGGAGAACGAUCCGAACCGGUACGGUACGCCGCCGGCAUCGAAAUCAGCGAUUGAGGGGCUUCCGACCAUUCGGAUUACGGUGGAAUUGUUGGGAACGGAUUCGUCGCAGUGUGCGGUGUGCAAGGACAGCUUUGAGCUCGAUGAGGAGGCCAAGCAGAUGCCUUGUAAGCACAUUUACCAUAACGAUUGUAUUCUACCUUGGUUGGAACUGCAUAAUUCGUGUCCGGUCUGUCGGUACGAGUUGCCCACCGAUGAUCCCGACUACGAGCACCGCACUCGGGGUGGCCAAGUCAAUCAAACUGGCGGAAAUGCUGCUGCGGUGGCUGCUGCUGGGGCUGCUUCGAACUCAGCUUCUGGUGCUGCUGGUGGGGCAGCAGUUUCUGGAGAGAAUCCGAAUCCUCAGACCCCUAGGACUGCAGAUAGGAUGUUUAGGAUCUCAUUUCCAUGGCCGUUUCGGACAUUUGGAUCCCCUGCUGAGACUAGCAACAGCAACAAUGAUGGGGGAUCGAACCCGGGGAACAGGGCAAAUCAGGAGUCUGGAUCAGAAAACAGGCAAGGAGAUCAGACUUGAGGAAUAUGGGUAGAAGAGUCUGCUCAAUGAGAUGGUGGUCUGCAGGGAUAGAAAGGACACUAUUAGGUUCAGGCUGGAUGGAACUGGGGGAGAUUCACUGUCAAGUCCCUUGUUCAGGCAAUAUGUAGUAGGAAGAGUAGAAGCUUUCUAACUUCUAUUCUUUUAUGUGGUAGCAGCCCCCUCUGAGGCGAGGUAGUGCUUCCCUCAUAGGAUGGAGAGAAAUUCUCACUAUGAUCAAUUAAUGAGGUGAGGUUUUCUUAUGGCAAAUUGACAAGUUUGUGUAAAAGGAAUGAGGAGUCAGCCAACCACAUUUUCAUUCAUUGCCUAGUGGCUAAAGAGUUUUGAUCCUCACUGUUUUUAAUCUUUGGUUUUUGUGGGUGAUUUCCAUUCAGUUACGAAAAUCAGUACUAGUUUGCAUGGAAAGUUCGUGGAUAAGACUGAGUAAAUUUGGAGUGUGGCUCUGUUAUUUUGUUUUGGUGGCUGUAUAGUGUGACAGUAGAAUCUUUGCAGGAGAAGAAAGAUUGGUUUUGAAGCUGAAGGACAUCUGAAAGAUGUCUAGUAUGAAGAAAUGUAACAAAAAGCUAUUGCACUAUCCAUCUUUGAUGAACAUGACGAGGUGUUUUAUCAAAUUAGGCCCACUAAGACCAGAUUUGUAAUACCAAGGUACAUAUUCUUAAGGUAACUGGUGUUCCCACUUAUGUGCGCUUUGAUUGGUUGACUGUGGGAGAAACCCUCCCAUCCGAAUCACUGAUACAUUUAUGAAGCCAUGACGAGAGCUGAGAGGCCACUGCAAGGAAUUUUAAAUUAUGCAAAUCUGACUAUUGAGUUAGAUGAAGUUGUUAUGGCCAGUUUAUAUAAAUGCAUAGCAAAGGUGAUAAAGACACAACAUUUUCUUAGCAAGACAAGAUUUUGUAAAGAGUUGACUCUGCAAAGGUGAGCUAAGCCUCUUCGGGAUGGACAUGGCUAUUAAAAACAAAGACAGACUAAAGCACCAGGUAAGAGAAAGGGGUUCAAAUCUGUAACCAUUGUUGAACAUAGAAACAAUCUUCUUAUACAUCGAAGACUAGUGACAGAUGUUUUUUUCAUUUUAUGUUUGGGCAUAAUAAUAAUGGGUAAAUGUCUUUUAUUUUCA